UACACGCUCUCUCCCUUCCCUCCUCCCUUCCUCUUUCUUUUCUACAUUUAUAUAUCUUAUUGAUUUCUUUCUCUAGGUUUUAGUGUAGUUGUAAUUUUGAUUUUUUUUUUCUUUUUAAUUUUUGGUCUAAUGCACUUGAAUAGAUUUUUAUUGGAUAACCCAGAUGGGUUUUCCGGAAAAACAGUAGUCUCACAUUGAUUAGGGUUUGAUUUACUCAGUACAAACAAGGGUUUUUUAGGGUGUAGGGAGUCCUAGUCCUUGGUUGAUUGACGAUGGAGGGGUCUUUAAAGAAUCUCCUCUGUUGUCCGUGUAAUUCCUUUCUAUUUCGAAAUGCUGAAAAUAAUGAGGAAGUUUGGAUGUAUUGUGGUGUGAAUUGUACUGAUGGGCCCGGUUUAUGUAUUAGGCCUACUUCAGUGUGCAAGCAUUUGUUAUGGUGGGCCCCCCUGUUGUUCAAGGCCUCCACAAAAACUUCCAGAUUGGAAGUUCGUAUUUAGCCAGUCCCAGGCCCGGUUAAAAGAGGGUUGAUGUGAGAUGGGCAGACGGGGCCAAUCAAUCAUGAGAAUCCUGUGUUUAAAAAAUGGGUAAAUAGGAUUCAUGAAACAACUCCAGUUUGCUGGGAAAAGGCUAUGACAACGGUGAUGAUAGGAAGAUCACACACGCAUAUUAUGUAUACCACCUUUGACUUUCUCUUUGGAGUUUGGACCAUGGUUCCUUAGAUGGUGGGUAAGGGUGGCAAUUGUCGGGCCUCUAGAGGUCACAUGCCUGAAUUUUGAACUGUAGGUUCGGGCCCAUUUAGAUUUGUCAUUUGCUCAGUCUGCGGCUCUGCGCCUGGUCCAUUGCCAGCAUUAGCAGUGAUGCACAUCAGAUGACUGGUCGAUUCUUAACCAUGGCCCCACUUGUAUGGAUUAGAGCAUCAGGAUAUCAUCCAACUUUUUGAUGUGUCAGGGUCUUAUAAUCCAUCUAACUCAAUUACAUUCAACUAAAAAGCAUGGAUCACCAGUGACCUUUCCUUGUAGCUCAAAACUUUGAGAAUCUUUCUAAAUAAGAUGGUUAACAUGAACGUGCAUGCAAUGGUUUAGUAGUAUUACACUUCUUAUUGCUUUCACUAUAACUAAAUCUCAAUAUAGUUGGGCUGUCAGGGAACAAAAUUCGUUUUUGGGAUGAUAAAUGGUGUGGUACAAGAACAUUUGUAGAUGAAUUUCCUAUUUUGGCUAAGGCGACAGUGGAGAGAGACAUAACAGCUGAUCGGUGCUAUUUCUCUAGCAAUGGGCGGGUGGUUUGGGCUCCUCGUUAUUGGAAUUUAAAAGAUGUAGAGAUUGAUGAAUACACUUCAUUAAUGACUCGGCUUGAGUUAAUCGUUCCUAAAUCUCUUGAAAAGUGACUCAAUGGUUUGGUCUGCUCAUACUUCAGGGCGGUUUUCAGUUCACUCCUUUUAUUCUUUGUUGCAAGUUUCAUCACAUGAUCACCAGCUUUGUUUCCCUUAUCAUUUCUGGUCAUACGGUGCUCCUCGAGUUGCUGCUUUCGUCUGGUUAGUGGGCAGGAAACGGGUUUUAACAGUGGAUAACUUACAACGGAGGGCUCUAAUUCUUCCAAAUGUUUGUUUGAUGUGUGUGGGAGAUGUGGAAUCAAUUGAUCAUUUAUUCAUCCGCUAGAUCUGUUUGUGAUUUCUUAUGGGCUUGGCAUGGUGGGGGGACUGGUAAAUCUACAAAGGCAUUGUGGCGAUUACUCAUCAUGGCUAUUUUUUGGGUAAUUUGGUGAGCUCGAAAUGACCGUUGUUUUAACAAUAGGGAGGUAACAGUAUUGGAUCGUGUUCGUAAGAUCAAUUUUUGCAUAUCAGGUUGGGCAAAUGUUGUAAAUAUGAUAGAUUUUGACCAGCUUCGUUCCAUGAUUCAUUUGUAAAUUGUUUGUUUUGUUUUCUUUGUAUUUUUGCUCGCUUCUUGUGAGUUUUCAAUAAAAUUUUGAUGUUAAUUUUCAA
Molecule: long non-coding RNA, 1975 nt
Organism: Magnolia sinica
Lineage: Eukaryota; Viridiplantae; Streptophyta; Magnoliopsida; Magnoliales; Magnoliaceae
Exons: 2
Source: RefSeq, a predicted model, not a curated record